ACUUAAAUGACACGACGAUACGCUCUUCAAGAAAACCUAAGCACUUAAAUACCAACUUAGAACAUCUUCGAUGUACACCUUUAUAUUUUUCUCUAAAAUAAAAUUUUUUAUUAUAAAAAUAAAAAUGCUCCAAUGUAUACCUCUAUAAUAAAGUUUUUCUAUUUUACAGAAAAAUAUAGAGAAAAUUAUUUUUUGCCUCUAUAUUUAAAGGUAAAAAUAACAUAUCUCUAUAUUUUUCCCUAUAAAUAGAAGAACUCUAUUAUACAGGUAUUCAUUGGAGCAUUUUUACUUCUAUAAUAGAAUUUCUCUAUUUUAGAGAAAAAUAUAUAGAUAGAAA
Molecule: long non-coding RNA, 337 nt
Filed under: Brassica rapa (field mustard)
Lineage: Eukaryota; Viridiplantae; Streptophyta; Magnoliopsida; Brassicales; Brassicaceae
Description: long non-coding RNA (BRAP_LNC001838)
Source: RNAcentral